RNAcentral lists this ribosomal RNA (510 nucleotides) under Cyclophorus saturnus. Its description in RNAcentral is "partial 16S ribosomal RNA". It matches the Rfam family "Bacterial large subunit ribosomal RNA", at positions 1825 to 2597 of the family's 2925-position model. Lineage: Eukaryota; Metazoa; Mollusca; Gastropoda; Architaenioglossa; Cyclophoridae. The record is from RNAcentral.
AUGUCUCCUUGAAGGAAGAGUAUAAGGAGUCUGGCCUGCCCGGUGACAUGGUUUAACGGCUGCAGUAUCCUGACUGUGCAAAGGUAGCAUAAUAACUUGCCUUUUAAUUGGAGGAUGGAAUCAAUGGCUUGACGAGAGCAAAGCUGUCUUUUUUGUUUUUAUUAAAACUUAUCUUUUAAGUUAAAAGGCUUAAAUAUAACUAAAAGACGAUAAGACCCUAUUGAGCUUUAAAGAAAUAAGGUGCUUAUUCAUUAUUAACAAGAUUGGUAAUAAAUUUAAAAAAUUUUGGUUGGGGCGACCGCGGAAUAUGCAAAACUUCCGUAUUUAAGAAUUAAUUUCUAUUUUUGAUCCACAUUUUGUGAUAAAUGGAAUUAGUUACCAUAGGGAUAACAGCGCACUAUUUUUAGGAAGAUCAUAUUUCUAAGAAAGAUCGCGACCUCGAUGUUGGAUUAAGGUAUACUGAAAGGCGCAGAAGUUUUUUAAGUUAGUCUGUUCGACUAUUAAAUCCUU